AAGUCGGUUCGGCGAUUGGUCGAGCCUACGCAAGGAUAUUAAAGAAAAUGAUGUUUUGGCUUCGUUUCCGCCUGGAGGGCCGAGGCGACGUCCAAAAAUCACGAGAACAGAUCCGGAGCAUUGUGGGAUCAAGUUAUAGAUCGAACAAUUUUCGGAUUGGGGAUUGGUGGCCGUUGGGUGGUCGAGUGCGAGUUCGGGCCGAACCGAGCAACGGGUGCCGCGAGAGGCCGAUUGCAAGUGACUACAAGCAAUCGAAAAGCGAUUUGAGGUGGGUUGUGCUUACCGAAGCGACUAGGUCGCCUCCAUGUCAAAGUAGAGUAUGGAUUCUUGUUGAUGCAUAUGUAUGUGCCAGAUGGAAAUAUAGGCAUGUUAGCAUUAUGUAAAUACAUGCUAGUUGAUAACUGUAUAUUAAUGCACUGAAACUACAUGCUAAAUGAUGGUUGCAUAAUGACAUAGACUAGAAAUGCUAAAUGAAGUGCAUGAUUGCAUGUUAAUAUAUAUGCAUAGUGGAAUAAAUGCUAGGUGCAUUUUAGAGCUAUGAGAUCGUGCUAGAAAGAACAUACAUAUUGACAUUGUAAGCAUGUGCAUGAGAAUAUGUAGCUAUAAACCUCGAUGUGGACACUUAGGAUGUUAAGUAGAUCGAGUGGCAUUAACCUAGUGUCAAUGAGCAUAGGUUUGAUAUUAACCUAGUGUUGUGAACCUAGGAUGGAUUGGUGUGGCAUUUAACCUAGUGACAUUGAACAUAGGUUGAGAAUGAAACCUAGAGUUAAACAAAUCUAGGUGAGUGGCAUUGAACCUAG
This 800-nucleotide long non-coding RNA is filed under the name Ananas comosus (pineapple). RNAcentral's name for it is "long non-coding RNA (ACOM_LNC040980)". Lineage: Eukaryota; Viridiplantae; Streptophyta; Magnoliopsida; Poales; Bromeliaceae. The record is from RNAcentral.